RNA transcript from Ziziphus jujuba (common jujube), 1766 nucleotides. It is a transcript of the gene named probable E3 ubiquitin-protein ligase RHC1A, with no coding region annotated. The record is from RefSeq and is a predicted model, not a curated record. NCBI's taxonomy places the organism in Eukaryota, Viridiplantae, Streptophyta, Magnoliopsida, Rosales, Rhamnaceae. The transcript has 3 exons.
AAGAUGCUAACAUUUUCUUCCAGGAAAAGUUAGCCGUUACAUUCCCUCCAAAUUCAAAUUUCCAAUUUUUCUUUUUUUUUUAUUUUUUUUAUUUUUUGAAGUAGUUCCUUAAGAAAUCUCUUUUUGCAACAAACGACUCAUUCUUUCCUUUACAAAGACGAAACAGUGAGAAGAAGCACAUCCAAUCCAAGAUGGAGAGAAAAACAGCAUUGCUCUUCUCAACACCCAAAAGCCAUUCUUUCUUUUGUGUACGUAUCAUUGCUUAUAUAUGUUUGCUCAUUUUGAUUCCAACAGCUGACCUCACAAAACCCAAAAUUCGAUCUUUUAACGAAAACCCCUUUUUGAAUUCUCACCAUCAAUUGAAUCGCUUAUGUCUUUAAGCCCAACUCGUCUCGGCAACAAUGGCGGCAGCGGCAGCGGCACCGGAACCUACCAGCUUUACUGGUGCUACCAGUGCCGUAGAGCGGUCAGAUUAGCCCCUAACACCAACCCUUCCGAGAUCCUUUGCCCUCGUUGCUUCGGCCAUUUCCUCUGCGAAAUGGAUGCAGAAAGGCCCAGUAGGAUUGUCGAUUUCACCGAUUUCGAUCUCUCUCCGGGAGCUCGAUUACUCGGAGCGCUGACCCUAAUGCUUGAUCCUCGGAUAAGGAGAGGCUUAUUUGGAGAUCCGGAGACGGAACAGGAAACAACCAGUCCGUUGUUCCGGAGGCGACAAACCCAAGAAGGUGCAGAUGCUCGGGAUCCAGAAGCUCAAAUAUUUCAAGGAGCACCUCCGCGGUCGAGAAGGCGGCAGCGGCGAAACCGGAGCUUCGACGGGACGAAUUGGGUCCGGGAAACCACCAUGGAAGAAAAUGAAAACCAACCUGGGGCGUGGAUUCUACUAAGACCCCUGGAUCCUUCUAACCCUUUCUCGCCCAUUUUCAGUCGGGAAAAUUCCCGAACACCUGGUGUGGAUCCCAGAAACUACUUUUUCGGACCGCGUUUAGAUGAACUGACCGAGGAACUGACGCAGAACGACAGACCGGGACCCCCUCCGGCACCGGAAUCGGCAAUCGGUAAGAUUCCGACUGUGAAAAUCAUUGAGGCGCAUCUGAAAAAUGACUCGCCGCAGUGUCCGGUUUGCAUGGAGGAGUUCAAGGUGGGUGGUGAGGCAAAAGAAUUGCCAUGCAAACACAUAUACCAUUAUGACUGUAUUGUUCCUUGGCUGCGACUUCACAAUUCUUGCCCUGUCUGUCGGCACGAGUUGCCGGUAUCGCCAGGUUAAUCCACAUUCGCACCCUGAUUCCACUCCUUCUCGACCCGGACCUGCUGCUAGCUCAUGGCGGCAUUCUUGCUACAUUCUUUAGCACUUUGUAUAUGGAUGACAUUUGUAUGGACUUUUAUGGUUGAAAUCUUUGUUAGGAUCACUUUAAGAUUUUAUACUACUAUUUCUGGCCUCACUCUUGGGAGGGUUACUGUGGAGAUUGACCUUAUCGAUUUAUCAUUGAAUUAUUCUGAGUGUAGCUGAUUCUUCACCUAAUCUCGGCCUAAAGCAUGCUUGGGAAAACUCAAAAAGGGCGUUCUCAGUGUUCUGAGAGAUGCUCUAAUUCAUGCAAAACACGUAAAAAAUAAAUAAAUAACUAAACAAAAAGAAAAGUAGAUGUUCUUUUAUAUGCCUAUGAAAAUGUACAGUACAUUAUUAUGCAAUAAUUCAAAGUUAGAGAAUUAUUUGUAAUUUCAUUCAUACAUUGUGUUUCGAAGCAACUGACAAUCAACAUCUAAUCAUCAAU